ACAGGACCAGUAGAUCUGAUCCACAACCACAGAAUCGCCCACAUGAGUGGGCACAUGAACAGGAGUGCCCAAAGGCAAGGAGAAAUAGCCAGGAAACAAGCAAACAGAGAUGAUACAUAUGAAUAGGUGGAUCCUGGAUCAAAUAAUACCGAAGCAUCUAUCAUGCAGAUAGAAAUAAUACAUGUGAUGACGGCAUCUGAGGCCAAUACAUCUGGCCUAGCCGGAAGGGCAUAGACUCUUGCUGGAGCACUGGCGGGCUAGCCUCCACCUAACUGAGCAAUAAUUGGCUGACCUCUCCCUAUCUGGCCUUUACCUUUAGGAUGGCCUCUACUAGUCUACCCCCUACCUCUAGACGGUUGGACAAUCGGUGCUAAAAUCAUAGGCUAUUGGCCAUGUUGUACUGCCUGCCCUGAUGCCUGGGGCAGGCCCUAUUCAUGUGACCUAGAUCUCCACACUCAUAGCAAACUCUUAGCACCAUAGCCUACUACCCUGAAGUCUGAGCUUGCCAACCCGACUACCCACUAGGAGAACCCUAAAUGGCUGGUGGAUGAUAUGAACUCUCUGGCAUGGCACUGAAGUAAGCACCAGAAGAACCUUGAUGACCAGAAUACCCACUAGAGGAAUAUUGAAUAGCUGGUGGAUGGUAAGAAAUCUCUGGCAUCGCACUGUAAUAAGGCCUCACUGGAGCACCUUGCUAGGCAGUGGUGGUGCUUAAUGCAGGGGCCUGCUGGACUGACCCCUCCCAGAGUGCCCCUUACCCCUAGCUUGGGCACCUUUAAACUCUCCAGAAAACCAGUUCCUCUUGUCCUGCUGAAACUUCUCUCCACCCCUCUUGUGAUAACCCUCAAUCUUGCGAGCAAUCUCCACCACUAGCCGAUACUCAGUACCCAUCUCCACCACUCGGGCCAUGCUAGAUUGAAUACUGGGGUGACACCCCGUAACAAAUCUCUACACUCUAUCUACAUCUGUAGGACGUAUCAUGAGUGCAUGGCGAGACAACUCAGAAAACCUCACCUCAUAAUCGAUCACGGACAUCUGACCCUGCUUAAG
Molecule: long non-coding RNA, 1050 nt
Filed under: Nicotiana benthamiana
Lineage: Eukaryota; Viridiplantae; Streptophyta; Magnoliopsida; Solanales; Solanaceae
Description: long non-coding RNA (NBEN_LNC005707)
Source: RNAcentral